RNAcentral lists this ribosomal RNA (522 nucleotides) under uncultured Glomus. Its description in RNAcentral is "SSU rRNA". It matches the Rfam family "Eukaryotic small subunit ribosomal RNA", at positions 569 to 1092 of the family's 1831-position model. The record is from RNAcentral. Lineage: Eukaryota; Fungi; Glomeromycota; Glomeromycetes; Glomerales; Glomeraceae.
AGCAGCCGCGGUAAUUCCAGCUCCAAUAGCGUAUAUUAAAGUUGUUGCAGUUAAAAAGCUCGUAGUUGAAUUUCGGGGUUAGCAGGUCGGUCGUGCCAUCGGUAUGAACUGGUCUCGCUGAUCCCUCCCUCUUGACGAACUGUGAUGCCAUUAAUUUGGUGUCGCAGGGAAUCAGGACUGUUACUUUGAAAAAAUUAGAGUGUUUAAAGCAGGCUCACGCUUGAAUACAUUAGCAUGGAAUAAUGAAAUAGGACGUUUGAUUCUAUUUUGUUGGUUUCUAGGAUCGACGUAAUGAUUAAUAGGGAUAGUUGGGGGCAUUAGUAUUCAAUUGUCAGAGGUGAAAUUCUUGGAUUUAUUGAAGACUAACUACUGCGAAAGCAUUUGCCAAGGAUGUUUUCAUUAAUCAAGAACGAAAGUUAGGGGAUCGAAGACGAUCAGAUACCGUCGUAGUCUUAACCAUAAACUAUGCCGACUAGGGAUCGGAUGAUGUUAAUUUUUUAAUGACUCAUUCGGCGCCUUACG